Molecule: ribosomal RNA, 461 nt
Filed under: uncultured Ochrobactrum sp.
Lineage: Bacteria; Pseudomonadati; Pseudomonadota; Alphaproteobacteria; Hyphomicrobiales; Brucellaceae
Description: bacterial SSU rRNA
Rfam family: Bacterial small subunit ribosomal RNA
Source: RNAcentral
CACAAGCGGUGGAGCAUGUGGUUUUAAUUCGAAGCAACGCGCAGAACCUUACCAGCCCUUGACAUACCGGUCGCGGACACAGAGAUGUGUCUUUCAGUUCGGCUGGACCGGAUACAGGUGCUGCAUGGCUGUCGUCAGCUCGUGUCGUGAGAUGUUGGGUUAAGUCCCGCAACGAGCGCAACCCUCGCCCUUAGUUGCCAGCAUUUAGUUGGGCACUCUAAGGGGACUGCCGGUGAUAAGCCGAGAGGAAGGUGGGGAUGACGUCAAGUCCUCAUGGCCCUUACGGGCUGGGCUACACACGUGCUACAAUGGUGGUGACAGUGGGCAGCGAGCACGCGAGUGUGAGCUAAUCUCCAAAAGCCAUCUCAGUUCGGAUUGCACUCUGCAACUCGAGUGCAUGAAGUUGGAAUCGCUAGUAAUCGCGCAUCAGCCAUGGCGCGGUGAAUACGUUCCCGGGCCUU